RNAcentral lists this ribosomal RNA (495 nucleotides) under uncultured bacterium. RNAcentral describes it as "partial 16S ribosomal RNA". It matches the Rfam family "Bacterial small subunit ribosomal RNA", at positions 28 to 507 of the family's 1533-position model. The record is from RNAcentral.
GACGAACGCUGGCGGCGUGCCUAAUACAUGCGAGUAGAACGCUGAAGGAGGAGCUUGCUUCUCUGGAUGAGUUGCGAACGGGUGAGUAACGCGUAGGUAACCUGCCUGGUAGCGGGGGAUAACUAUUGGAAACGAUAGCUAAUACCGCAUAAUAGUAGAUGUUGCAUGACAUUUACUUAAAAGGUGCAAUUGCAUCACUACCAGAUGGACCUGCGUUGUAUUAGCUAGUUGGUGGGGUAACGGCUCACCAAGGCGACGAUACAUAGCCGACCUGAGAGGGUGAUCGGCCACACUGGGACUGAGACACGGCCCAGACUCUUACGGGAGGCAGCAGUAGGGAAUCUUCGGCAAUGGACGAAAGUCUGACCGAGCAACGCCGCGUGAGUGAAGAAGGUUUUCGGAUCGUAAAGCUCUGUUGUAAGAGAAGAGCGAGUGUGAGAGUGGAAAGUUCACACUGUGACGGUAUCUUACCAGAAAGGGACGGCUAACUACGUG